CAGUCGAACGCCCCGCAGGGGAGUGGCAGACGGGUGAGUAACGCGUGGGAACAUACCCUUUCCUGCGGAAUAGCUCCGGGAAACUGGAAUUAAUACCGCAUACACCCUACGGGGGAAAGAUUUAUCGGGGAAGGAUUGGCCCGCGUUGGAUUAGCUAGUUGGUGGGGUAAAGGCCUACCAAGGCGACGAUCGAUAGCUGGUCUGAGAGGAUGAUCACCAACUUUGGGACUGAGACACGGACCAUUCAACUCCGUUUGGCAGCGGUGUUAUAUAUUGUACAAAGAGAGCAACCCACUCCC
Molecule: ribosomal RNA, 299 nt
Filed under: Rhizobium sp.
Lineage: Bacteria; Pseudomonadati; Pseudomonadota; Alphaproteobacteria; Hyphomicrobiales; Rhizobiaceae
Description: partial 16S ribosomal RNA
Rfam family: Bacterial small subunit ribosomal RNA (bases 1-266)
Source: RNAcentral